Nomia melanderi (Alkali bee) is the source of this 291-nucleotide non-coding RNA. NCBI's taxonomy places the organism in Eukaryota, Metazoa, Arthropoda, Insecta, Hymenoptera, Halictidae. The record is from RefSeq and is a predicted model, not a curated record.
UUUUAAUUGGGCUUCGACAAGUAUGAAGAGAAUGCGUAAUCCACGUGUCCCCUUUUCCCGUGAAAGUUAACCCAUUCCGACUCGUAAAUCGACCGUUGGUAACAAGGUUUGACAUGGUCUCGGUGCAAAAAAGCGGAGAAAAAGAGGAAAAGAGGGAACAUAAAGUCUCGGUCCACGCACGACAAGGGAGGUGUCAAAAUUUACGACGACAAACUUUCGUGGAGAUGCUGUCUCUAGACCUAGGGCUCCCAGAUCUGUGGUACAGCACUACCGACGGUCUGUACCCGGCAG